CCUACGGGUGGCAGCAGUGAGGAAUAUUGGUCAAUGGGCGAGAGCCUGAACCAGCCAAGUCGCGUGAAGGAUGAAGGAUCUAUGGUUUGUAAACUUCUUUUAUAUGGGAAUAAAGUGAGGAACGUGUUCCUUUUUGUAUGUACCAUAUGAAUAAGCAUCGGCUAACUCCGUGCCAGCAGCCGCGGUCAUACGUAGGAUCCGAGCAUUAUCCGGAGUGACUGGGUGUAAAGAGUUGCGUAGGUGGCAUAAUAAGUAGCUAGUGAAAUCUGGUGGCUCAACCAUUCAGACUAUUAGCUAAACUGUUAAGCUCGAGACCGUUAGGGGCAUCUGGAAUUUCUAGUGUAGGAGUGAAAUCCGUAGAUAUUAGAAGGAACACCAAUAGCGUAGGCAGGAUGCUGGGACGGUUCUGACACUAAGGCACGAAAGCGUAGGGAGCAAACGGGAUUAGAUACCCCUGUAGUC
Molecule: ribosomal RNA, 462 nt
Filed under: uncultured bacterium
Lineage: Bacteria
Description: partial 16S ribosomal RNA
Rfam family: Bacterial small subunit ribosomal RNA
Source: RNAcentral